UAAAGUUAGUAUAAAUAAACGAAGGUAUGAGUCGACUGAACCAUUCCUGACUUCGUUGCAGAACAUUUCGUCAUCUUCUCUCUUCACUUGUAACCAGCAACUAAAACCCAAUCACAAUGGCCAGGGCUCUGUUCUUCGUUCUUGCCGCCAUCCUCAUCGUGGCCACCCUCGCCGAGGAGCUCGAGGAGUAUGAGAACACCAUGGAGGACUUCUUCAUGGCUGAGAAGAGGGGACAGAACAUGAAGAAGUACAAGUCUUGCGACGCAUUCGGUCAAACGUGCUUCUGCAGCAGGAGGACCUCCAAAAUCGUGUUCUGCAGUGGUGCUGGAAACGGUGAUAGCAUGUAAACACACUAUUCGAAACACUGGAUACUGAACGAAUCUCGAACCAACUCCUGACUGACUCCGAAUCGCUUCCGAACUGACUCCGAAUCGCCUCCGAACCGUCCGCUUAAAGACGGAAAGAAAGCAACAAUUAAAAAUGGGGAAUAUAUGUUUAUAGAAUGGCCGAGCUGUAUUACAUGUAUUUCCCUCUCACUCAUUUGUAAUGAUCAGCAAAUAAACAAAAGCAUAAGGAAAUUAUUA
Long non-coding RNA from Strongylocentrotus purpuratus (purple sea urchin), 584 nucleotides. RefSeq lists it as uncharacterized. The record is from RefSeq and is a predicted model, not a curated record. NCBI's taxonomy places the organism in Eukaryota, Metazoa, Echinodermata, Echinoidea, Camarodonta, Strongylocentrotidae. The transcript has 4 exons.